Molecule: long non-coding RNA, 1041 nt
Filed under: Macaca mulatta (Rhesus monkey)
Lineage: Eukaryota; Metazoa; Chordata; Mammalia; Primates; Cercopithecidae
Description: lncRNA (ENSMMUG00000053005.1)
Source: RNAcentral
GAAUUCUCUCGAUUUACCUCAAAAAGUGCAUAUGUAUGUGAAAUACAGGAGUCAACCAAGCUGCCAAAGAUAAUUCUUUUUGUUUACACAGCAUUUUCACCUGCGUGAUUUCAACAGAUUCUCAUAACUGCCUUCUUAAAUGAGUGUUACUAAACUUAAACCAAGGCCCCAAGAUGCUAAACAAAAGUCACACAUCCAGUAUUUGGGAGAAUCCAGAGGUAAACUCAUGUCUUUGUAUUUCAGAACCAGUCUUCAACUUUCAUCCAUUUUUUUCAUUUGACUAACAGGUUAUUUUGAUCUUGAGAGACAUAGCCAGAACUACCAAAUGAAAAUGCAAACAAAAACCACAUAAUCCCAAAGUUACUGAACCUUACAGAAACAUUGUGAGAAGAAGUAAACAAAAGAGGUGAAAAUGAUGUGAAGGUUAUAAUGCCUAACAUAGUAGCCCAACUGUCAGAUGGACUCAAGAUCAGAAGCAGAAAACUGAUUUGAAUAAUAAAGACAGGUUGCUUUUUCAUAGGUGACCUGAGAAGAAUGCUACAUUCUGAUAUCACAAUAGCUCUUCAGCCUAGCCUUAAGCCCCAUCCAUGACAUUGGUAAUGGCAUUGAAAAGUGAAAAACAACAGAAAAAGUUUAUUCUAUGGAAGGACAUAUUCUACUGAGUAGGAUUGAUGCUCUGUUAUUAAUAUUCAUUGGAAGGCAGCCAACCAGGGUUGGAAACCCAAUUCGUGGUUCGCAUCAAGCCAGCAAAUAUGUUUUGACUGAAGUGCCAACUGAAACAUCUCAAUAUCAAUCCCAGUUGGAAAAUGCUCCAUAACUGAUUAUCAUUGUCUGCCAGAAGCUCAGAAGGGGUGAAUGAUGGCAAAUGCACAGCACGACUUUUUUACCAUUCCUGCUGAGAACCCAAAUUGCUACACUGAUAUUUUUAUACCGUUUUAAUCAGCUGAACGUAACAGUAACUUCAUGAAAUAAACAACUAACCAGGAAAAGACAAGAGGUUUCCCUAAGAAUAUUGAAAACCUAAUCAUGAUUAAAACAUCA